Molecule: small nucleolar RNA, 91 nt
Filed under: Procavia capensis (Cape rock hyrax)
Lineage: Eukaryota; Metazoa; Chordata; Mammalia; Hyracoidea; Procaviidae
Source: RNAcentral
GAGCCCCCAUGAUGUCCAGCACUGGGCUCUGACUAACCAUGAGGAUGCUGUGCCCCCCGGGACCUUUGACACCCGGGGGUCUGAGGGGCUG